UACGAGGGGGGCGAGCGUUGUUCGGAAUUAUUGGGCGUAAAGGGUGCGUAGGCGGUUUGGUAAGUCUCGUGUGAAAUCUCCGGGCUCAACUCGGAGCCUGCACGAGAAACUGCCGGGCUUGAGUGUGGGAGAGGUGAGUGGAGUUCCUGGUGUAGCGGUGAAAUGCGUAGAUAUCAGGAGGAACACCUGUGGCGAAAGCGGCUCACUGGACCAUAACUGACGCUGAUGCACGAAAGCUAGGGGAGCAAACAGG
Molecule: ribosomal RNA, 253 nt
Filed under: uncultured bacterium
Lineage: Bacteria
Description: partial 16S ribosomal RNA
Rfam family: Bacterial small subunit ribosomal RNA
Source: RNAcentral